Molecule: transfer-messenger RNA, 352 nt
Filed under: Coriobacteriales bacterium
Lineage: Bacteria; Bacillati; Actinomycetota; Coriobacteriia; Coriobacteriales
Rfam family: transfer-messenger RNA
About the family: Bacterial tmRNA, also known as 10Sa RNA or SsrA, is named for its dual tRNA and mRNA-like properties. Its role is to liberate the mRNA from a stalled ribosome.
Source: RNAcentral
GGGGGCGACUGGUUUCGACAUAUAUGUUCUGAGUGAGGAAGCAUGCGGUGGUCUCCUCGCCACCUUAAACAGGGGUACUGUCAAAAAUAAUUGACAAUCGUAGCUAUGCCCUCGCCGCCUGAUACAGGCCGCGACGUCGACCCGGGAUUAUUCCCCGCUCCCGGUAAGACGCCACUGAGGGGAAUGCUCCUGUGUACGUAGUCGGUAUGACGCAGGAAAAGAGAGAACCGGCUGGCAAUGAGCGCAUCUGUCUGAUGGGGCGCUCAGCGCGAGACUUUUCGUCAGACUGAGCAUGGAGACGCCUUGCAAUGAGCAUGUAUGGACCGGAGUUCGAUUCUCCGCGCCUCCACCA